Long non-coding RNA from Daphnia magna, 367 nucleotides. RefSeq lists it as uncharacterized. Lineage: Eukaryota; Metazoa; Arthropoda; Branchiopoda; Diplostraca; Daphniidae. The transcript is spliced from 2 exons. The record is from RefSeq and is a predicted model, not a curated record.
UCAAAUUCCAAGAUCAGAUUUUUCAAGCAUAGAAUUUUUUUUUUUCUUAGAGGGCGGACCUUAUAGCGACCAAUAAGAAUAUUCGUUUCAUGACAUUGCGUACAGUAAUAGAUUCUGUUUACUUUAUUAUUAUUACAAGGCGUCUGCUAGAGCUAGAAUCUAGUUAGUAUUUUUAAAGUUAUAAGACUGACAGUUUUGGUAUCUUGAACUGUGUUUAUUGUUCUAGUAAUCGACUUACGAGAUUGAAAUGGCCCCAGCAAUAAAAGAAAAAGCGUGGUCGUCAUUCCAAAUAGAAACUUUAGUUGAUGAGUACAUCGCAAGAAAGGGUGUUAUUCUUGGUGCCUUGAGGCCGGGCAUUACCAAGGAA